ACCUGUGUGGUUUUGUGGUAUGAUUCUCGCUUUGGGUGCGAGAGGUCCCGGGUUCAAUCCCCGGUUCGGCCA
This 72-nucleotide transfer RNA is filed under the name Caenorhabditis elegans. It matches the Rfam family "tRNA". From Rfam's summary of the family: Transfer RNA (tRNA) molecules are approximately 80 nucleotides in length. Their secondary structure includes four short double-helical elements and three loops (D, anti-codon, and T loops). The record is from Rfam by way of RNAcentral. Lineage: Eukaryota; Metazoa; Nematoda; Chromadorea; Rhabditida; Rhabditidae.